Molecule: long non-coding RNA, 428 nt
Organism: Drosophila yakuba
Lineage: Eukaryota; Metazoa; Arthropoda; Insecta; Diptera; Drosophilidae
Exons: 2
Source: RefSeq, a predicted model, not a curated record
CGCUCAACAAGAUCUUGCCCAAAUAAACAUCACAUGGGAAAAUGCUAAACAGACAGCACAAAACAGAGUUAGAUGGAAGGCUCUCGUAAAAACCCUAAGUUCCCGAGAGGAUUAAGAAGGAAUUAAAAAAAAAAUGGACGAGAUCCGGAACGGUUUCCUUGACAUGAUGACGUUGAUGAACAAUGCCAGCGGUUGCUGCCCAUGAACCUGGAUCGUCAAAGUGGACAAGCCGACCAAUUCUAAACCGACUAUUUGGUAAAAUAGAAACCACUCAGUAUUCACUCAAUCUUACUUUAUAACUAAAACAGUAAGUCUUCUUCGGUGCGCAUCCAAAGGAUAUGUACAAACAGAUGGUACUUGUGUGCUUUUCUAAUAUUAUGUUUAAAAUUAUGUUAAACUAAUAAUUAAAAGUCAAAUAACAUUAUAAA